RNAcentral lists this ribosomal RNA (356 nucleotides) under uncultured Bacteroidales bacterium. RNAcentral's name for it is "bacterial SSU rRNA". It matches the Rfam family "Bacterial small subunit ribosomal RNA", at positions 226 to 579 of the family's 1533-position model. The record is from RNAcentral. Lineage: Bacteria; Pseudomonadati; Bacteroidota; Bacteroidia; Bacteroidales.
UGGGGAUGCGUUCCAUUAGUUUGUUGGCGGGGUAACGGCCCACCAAGACAUCGAUGGAUAGGGGUUCUGAGAGGAAGGUCCCCCACAUUGGAACUGAGACACGGUCCAAACUCCUACGGGAGGCAGCAGUGAGGAAUAUUGGUCAAUGGACGAGAGUCUGAACCAGCCAAGUAGCGUGAAGGAUGACUGCCCUAUGGGUUGUAAACUUCUUUUAUAUGGGAAUAAAGUGAGSCACGUGUGSCUUUUUGUAUGUACCAUAYGAAUAAGGAUCGGCUAACUCCGUGCCAGCAGCCGCGGUAAUACGGAGGAUCCGAGCGUUAUCCGGAUUUAUUGGGUUUAAAGGGAGCGUAGGCGGA